UACGUAGGGUCCGAGCGUUGUCCGGAUUUAUUGGGCGUAAAGAGCUCGUAGGCGGUUCGAUAAGUCGGACGUGAAAUCUCCACGCUCAACGUGGAGGGGCCGUUCGAUACUGUCGUGACUCGAGUCCGGUAGGGGAGUGUGGAAUUCCCGGUGUAGCGGUGAAAUGCGCAGAGAUCGGGAGGAACACCCGUAGCGAAGGCGGCACUCUGGGCCGGUACUGACGCUGAGGAGCGGAAAGCGUGGGGAGCAAACAGGG
RNAcentral lists this ribosomal RNA (256 nucleotides) under uncultured bacterium. RNAcentral describes it as "partial 16S ribosomal RNA". It matches the Rfam family "Bacterial small subunit ribosomal RNA", at positions 524 to 777 of the family's 1533-position model. The record is from RNAcentral.